Molecule: unclassified non-coding RNA, 267 nt
Filed under: Hevea brasiliensis (rubber tree)
Lineage: Eukaryota; Viridiplantae; Streptophyta; Magnoliopsida; Malpighiales; Euphorbiaceae
Source: RNAcentral
GAUGGGUUUGUUACAGUGGCGACGGUGGGAGAGAAGGUGGAGGAAGAUGGCGGAGAGGAGAGUGGUGAGGAGCGGAGGGAGGAUAAAUGUGGGGUGCAGAUAGAGGAGACUUGUUUGUUGACCAUCAUGCAAAGGAUGAUAGCAGCAGAGGUUAGGAGUUACAUUGAUAGACUAAGGGCUGAAGAUGGGCUAUAUGGGCCUGCUGCCAGAAAGGAUCUCUGAAGUCAUAAAAAGAUUUCCACUCUUUUGGGUUAUUUUAAAUGUGUU